Podarcis lilfordi (Lilford's wall lizard) is the source of this 715-nucleotide non-coding RNA. Lineage: Eukaryota; Metazoa; Chordata; Lepidosauria; Squamata; Lacertidae. The record is from the annotation of a GenBank genome assembly.
GGAGAAGAAGCCCUGCACCACCAGCUAGUUAUGAAAAAGGACCACGGUUUCCACAGCAGACUCUAACUUGUAGGCUUUAGCUUAUAUUUCUGGGUGGUUGUUAGGAAAUUUAACACAGGGACAACAGUUCCCCGUGCGGAGGCGACGGCAUCUGGUCCGCGUUAGACUUGGCAAGUUUUCUCAAAGGUGCCACUUUGUGCUUUUAGAUGGAGAAAUAGAUGGAGAAUGAAGACCCCCUCGGUAUUCACUGGCGGCGAUUGGUGUUAAAAUCUUUUCCGAAGAGAGGUAUACUACAAACAAGACAAAAGCGUUGCUAUAUAAGACUGUAUGUAAAUCCCAUAUCCACUUAACUUCUCUGUCUUGGAUUUCACUGUAAGCGUUUGAAGAGUGGGUUUUUCACAUUCACAAUAGUGAACAGAAACAAAUUUUUAAGCCAUUCAUUUACUAAUACUAAACAAAGUAAUAUCAUUUUAUAGUAAAUGUGUUAGUUUAUAGUGAAGGUACUUUAAUUGCAUCCGUGGGGUAAUUCUAAAAAUAAUAAACUAUCAAAGUAGUAUUAAAGCAUUAAUCUAGCCUUUGUCAGGCAUGGUGGCUUAAAACACAAGUUUAUAAUUCUUAUUUCAAAAAACAUCAGCAGGCGUAAACCCACUGCCGGUGUGUUAACCUUUUAAAAAAUACUACAAAGCUUGUAUUUUUUAAAAAUACGAUUCUUAAG